ACAGAUAUAAUUAAAAAAAAUACUAGAUGUCUUUCUAAAAAAAGAGGUUACAUCCUCUUACCUGCC
Molecule: non-coding RNA, 66 nt
Organism: Xiphophorus couchianus (Monterrey platyfish)
Lineage: Eukaryota; Metazoa; Chordata; Actinopteri; Cyprinodontiformes; Poeciliidae
Source: the annotation of a RefSeq genome assembly